ACCAGACUCCUACGGGAGGCAGCAGUGAGGGGUAUUGCACAAUGGGGGGAACCCUGAUGCAGCGACGCCGCGUGGGUGAAGAAGCGCCUCGGCGCGUAAAGCCCUGUCAGCAGGGAAGAAAAUGACGGUACCUGAAGAAGAAGCCCCGGCUAACUACGUGCCAGCAGCCGCGGUAAUACGUAGGGGGCAAGCGUUAUCCGGAUUUACUGGGUGUAAAGGGGGCGCAGACGGCGAUGCAAGCCAGGAGUGAAAGCCCGGGGCCCAACCCCGGGACUGCUCUUGGAACUGCGUGGCUGGAGUGCAGGAGGGGCAGGCGGAAUUCCUGGUGUAGCGGUGAAAUGCGUAGAUAUCAGGAGGAACACCGGUGGCGAAGGCGGCCUGCUGGACUGCAACUGACGUUGAGGCCCGAAAGCGUGGGGAGCAAACAGGAUUAGAUACCCGAGUA
RNAcentral lists this ribosomal RNA (445 nucleotides) under uncultured bacterium. Its description in RNAcentral is "bacterial SSU rRNA". It matches the Rfam family "Bacterial small subunit ribosomal RNA", at positions 330 to 792 of the family's 1533-position model. The record is from RNAcentral.